CUGAAAAGUAGGGUUAUGUUUAUGUUUAUUUAUGUUUGUAUCUCAAAGUCAAUGAAAAAACCAUAGUUAAUCAAGUGUAUGAGUUACCUUAUGAGACGAAAGUGUUCAAGAAGCCUGACGUGGGGCAGAAUACAGCUGCGUUAAAUCCCAUGCUACACUUUUGGAUAUAAAACGUUGGCUACUCACCUAGCACCAAAGUGCUGAAGGAGAUGGACGUAGUGAAGGCUACAGUUGCGUUGAUUGACAGACACCACAGUGAUAUGCCUGCAACAAUGCACGUCCAGAGGAUAUAAAACGUUGGCUACUCACCUAGCACCAAAGUGCUGAAGGAGAUGGACGUAGUGAAGGCUACAGUUGCGUUGAUUGACAGACACCACAGUGAUAUGCCUGCAACAAUGCACGUCCAGAGGUUAGACAAACAGCACACUUGCUUUUAUACUACAAUAUUGAUUAUUCGUUUCUGUUUAUGACUGAUUUGUAAUCUAAAAAUAAUUUUAAAUAUCAUUAUACCUCUGCCGUAGCAAACCUGUAGACUAAGCCAAUUUCCAUUUACCUAUCUAGAUUCCCACUAAAAUAUUAACUUAAAAUUACCAGAUUUAUUACCUUUCAAAUAACCUUAAUAUUAAUGAACACUUAGCUUUGCUGCUACAGAGGUGUGUUUUUAAUUGAAUCGUUGAUAGCUAAUUAGUAUGAAAUACAAAGAUUUGUCAAAUUGUAUUACAAUAUAUCCAUAAACAAGCAAACUACAGCAGUUUACUU
Macrosteles quadrilineatus (aster leafhopper) is the source of this 759-nucleotide long non-coding RNA. RefSeq lists it as uncharacterized. The record is from RefSeq and is a predicted model, not a curated record. NCBI's taxonomy places the organism in Eukaryota, Metazoa, Arthropoda, Insecta, Hemiptera, Cicadellidae. The transcript has 4 exons.